RNAcentral lists this transfer RNA (71 nucleotides) under Ictidomys tridecemlineatus (thirteen-lined ground squirrel). RNAcentral describes it as "Spermophilus tridecemlineatus (thirteen-lined ground squirrel) tRNA". It matches the Rfam family "tRNA". Rfam says of the family: Transfer RNA (tRNA) molecules are approximately 80 nucleotides in length. Their secondary structure includes four short double-helical elements and three loops (D, anti-codon, and T loops). Lineage: Eukaryota; Metazoa; Chordata; Mammalia; Rodentia; Sciuridae. The record is from Rfam by way of RNAcentral.
UGGGGUGUAGCUGAGUGGUAGAGUGCAUGCCUAGCCUGCAUGAGACGCGGGCUCCAUCCCCAGCACCUCAA